Molecule: ribosomal RNA, 710 nt
Filed under: Pontibacter sp. D9
Lineage: Bacteria; Pseudomonadati; Bacteroidota; Cytophagia; Cytophagales; Hymenobacteraceae
Description: partial 16S ribosomal RNA
Rfam family: Bacterial small subunit ribosomal RNA
Source: RNAcentral
UGAGAGCGGCGGACGGGUGAGUAAUGCCUANGAAUCNGCCUGGNNGNGGGGGAUNACGUUCGGAAACGGACGCUAAUNCCGCAUACGUCCUACGGGAGAAAGNNGGGGACCUUCGGGCCUUGCGCUAUCNGAUGAGCCUANGGCGGAUUANCUANUUGGUGAGGUAAUGGCUCACCAAGGCUGCGAUCCGUAACUGGNCUGAGAGGAUGAUCANNCNCNCUGGAACUGAGACACGGUCCANACUCCUACGGGAGGCAGCAGUGGGGAAUAUUGGACAAUGGGCGAAAGCCUGAUCCAGCCAUGCCGCGUGUGUGAAGAAGGUCUUCGGAUUGUAAAGCACUUUAAGUUGGGAGGAAGGGCAGUUACCUAAUACGUGAUUGUUUUGACGUUACCGACAGAAUAAGCACCGGCUAACUCUGUGCCANCAGCCGCGGNAAUACAGAGGGUGCAAGCGUUAAUCGGAAUUACUGGGCNUAAAGCGCGCGUAGGUGGUUUGUUAAGUUGGAUGUGAAAUCCCCGGGCUCCCCCUGGGAACUGCAUUCNAAACUGACUGACUAGAGUAUGGUAGAGGGUGGUGGAAUUUCCUGUGUAGCGGUGAAAUGCGUANAUAUAGGAAGGAACACCNGUGGCGAAGGCGACCNCCUGGACUAAUACUGACACUGACGUGCGAAAGCGUGAGNGAGCAAACAGGAUAUANAUNNNCCUGGUAG